Molecule: long non-coding RNA, 4727 nt
Organism: Heterocephalus glaber (naked mole-rat)
Lineage: Eukaryota; Metazoa; Chordata; Mammalia; Rodentia; Bathyergidae
Source: Ensembl
GAGCAAAAAAAACAAGGCAUCAGUAUUGUUGAGUAUUAGCUUGUGCCUGGUCCGGGGGCUGAGUAAGUAUUUGCCUUCCAGUUUGGGGCUAGGGCGGGGGUCGCGCAAUCCGGAAACUGCAUCUCUUCCUCUCUCUCUAUCUCCGCAAAUAUUUGGGGGGCAGGGUUCCAAGGCCUAGUCAGGGAAGGUCCCCCACCCCCUCUGCCAUCCGCGGAACUUGCAGAAGUUGCCCAAGGCCCAGAGUGUGCUUGUGUCUGCCUCCCCCUGCCCUGCCCAGCCCCCCAAGAUUGGACUUCCGCACCCCCAUGCCCGUGGGGGCUAGGGGGGCCUUGGAGCUUCGACUGCAACAUACUGCAACAUUGCAUUCGGAGACCUAGCUUCUAUUGUCAUACAUGGGGCUGGGGCCCAGCCAGGCCUUUCUCAUGGAGAGAGCGCAGGCCUUGUGGCUUAGGUUGGUUUGCCGGCCUGGUCGGCCUGGUGGCUGGACCCAGGCCCAGCCCAGGGGAAGGGUGUCAGCGGGUCUGGUCCAGGACUCCGGAGUUUCCGGCCUGCGGCAGAGCUCACCAGGCUGUGGGGAAGCGGUGGAAAUGGGGGCGGUCCAACCUGCUUGGGUCUUCCUGAAGUGGCUCCUGGGACAAGGCCCUCACAAGUCUCCUUUCCCGGCCACACCUUCCAGGUCCCAGGCAGCCGCUUGUGCUGCGUGGGCGUGGGCGCUGUUCACACUCACUUUGCAGGUGGGUUGGCUGUGAUUUUGGCCCCUAAUAAAAAAAUGGCGGCACAGUGGGGCAGUGCGGGAGUGGCACGGUUCUAACACUGUGGGGAGCUCUGGGAUGUUCGCAGGUGUGUGGGGAGGGACUGUUGAGGCCUAAGGGGGAAGGGAAGGGACCAGACCUCCCCCCCCCUCCCCGAGGCUCAGCAGGCUGCGACACCAGCUCCAAGUUGAGGGGUCUGAGAAUGUGGAGCUGAGAUACUUGUUCUGCUGCUGGAGAAGGCACUGAUGGGGUAGGACCUCCCAAGGCUGGAGCCAGGCCUUGUGGUGUUUGUCUGGGUCUAUUUACUGAUUUUCUUAGUGUAUCUCUGCUAUUUGAAAAUGGCAGCAUUUUGUUUGCUUAGAGUGUGUUAAUCAGUCUUGUGAGUCUAUUUGUGGUAUGUGUAUUUUUUAUAUGCAAAUGUGCGUGUUUAUAAUUGUGUACGUCCUGCCAUUUGUGUGUGCAUUUUAAUUUUUGUUGGUAUAUGUGUAUACUUACUUGAGACAGUGUGUAUGUGAGGACAUUUGAAUGCGUAAGUGUGCAGAUGUGUAAAAUUAUUGAUGCACGUGUGUGCUAACAUUGAUGUGGAAGUGUGCUUUAAAAAUCUGAAUGUGUAUGUGUGUGUGGUGGAGUGUGUGCAUGCUUGAGACUGUAACUGAGCUGGGUUGGGUGUGUUUGAGAAUGCAGAAUUUUACAGGUCUGUGUUUGUAUGCCUGCCUGUGUGUAUUUGUCUGGACAGGUUUUUGUUUAUGUGACUCCUGUAGGUUGGGGGGAGAGUAUAUUUGCAUUUGUGCUUGAACAUCUAGCAAUGUUUACUUUCAAGAGAUUGGAGGAGCAAGACUUCUGGGUGCCUCUGUUGGGGUACAGAGAUGUCCCCUUGUUCUCUGCUUCUCUGCAGACCCAGCCUGCCCCCUAGGCUCUAGUGGAGGGGAUCUUGCUGGGGACAGGGAAUUGCUGGUCUCUGGUCUCUGAUGAGGAGGCACUGACCCACCAGCUGGGUCUCUGAAAGAGAAGUCCCCAACCUGGGCAGCUCUGCUAGUUGGUGCUGCUACCUGGCCCUCUGUUUGUCAGGGAACAGGCAUAACAGGACACAGCCAUGGUGUAAGGCUGGGCAGAGCCCUCAGAGCCUUGCUCAGCCAAGAACAGGAAGCCUGAUUGCACCUGGCCCCCUAGGUCUGGCGAGAGCAGCUCCCAGAGCCUGAGACGGAACUGUUUCUGGCUGCACCUGGCCUGGCUGCCUAGAGCAGGAACAGUUCUCAAGCUGGGGCAGAGCAGAGAUGAAGAAACAAGGACCAGAGAGGAAGGGGAGAGAGGCGCCGCUCCGGCAAAGGCAACUGCACUGCUGUCCGCCUAGUCUUUGUCUCUCUGAGGUUUUCUUUCUCCCGAGUUCUCCCCAAUCUGUGCUCCAUCCCCAUCUCUCUCUUGUGCCCAGCAUCUGUUCUCUUCCUGUUUCCGCUGCGCUGUUUCUUCCUCCUUUUCCUUCUCUCCCUCUUUCUGUUUCUCUCCCUCUGCUUCUCUACCGCUGCCUGAGUCCAGCAUCUGGCUCAGUGCUUCUCAUUGUGUACCUUGCAGACUUCGGGGUGCGGGGGCCAGGCUCACAUCCCACACCCACACACUCUGGGGUCCGAGGAACUCCCCAUCUGGGGGCCUCCUCUGCUCUAGUCUGGCUGGACUGAGCCCACUCUCCUUUGAGCCCCCACAAGGACUCAAGGGGCCAAACCAGUGUGUGUCCCCGCCCGGGGCUGUCCACUGGUGGCCCCUGGCAGCCUGGGCUCCUGGCUCCGUCUGACUCCCUCACAAACUAUCUGCCCUCUUCUGGAUGUGCUGAAAAACCAGUGUGCCGCCAGGCCCUGGUCGCCAUGAAGCCAGCCCAGGGAGACUUCGGGGAUGGGAAGGAGCGGCUGGGGCCCGGCCUCCCCUGCCUGGUGAGGGUGGGCAGCGGGGCUGAGUCUGGUGGCCAGGACUGACCUCCCCUUCUUGUGGACCCACCCGGGGCCUCACCCUCGGUGCAGCCCAGUUCCAGAAACCCCUCUGCCAGCUGUGCAGCCAGGAAAAUUAUGCACCCUGACACCUUCCAGAGUGCCCAGCCUCAGAAACCGCUAGCAGACCAACUAUUAGGUACAUUAUCCCGCCCUAUAGCGCUAGCAGAUGGCGACCAGGCAGCGAAAUCCCUUCCUAUAAGUAACUAAUAAACCGCUUGUGUCUUAACAGGGUAAUGCAUGGAGACGCAAUGUCACUUACACAAGAUGUUGAUGGCAUUUACUAUAUAAAAACCUUCCUCCUAGAGUAAAGAGUAUCAGCAUUACAACGCGACAGACGGCGGCGGGAUAAGUAAAACAGACAGAAGACAAACAAGAUAAUAAUCUGUUUCCGAUCACUUAAGCCCUGUGGAGUUAGUAAUAUGCGGUUUGCAUAUUCCCCCUUGAGUUCGGUAAUUAAUUACGGGCGAGGAGGCGCACACCCGCAGGAGAGGGAGCGGGAAGGCUGAGUCGGGCUUGUGGGUGCUUCGGGCCACUUCUCCAGCCGAGGACGCGGGGCAGCAGCGGGACUGAGGGCCUCGCAGGCCUCAGGAGGUGCCCUUUCUGCAGGCCAAAGAGGAUUUCACUUGCAACUCCCUCCUCCUCCCGGGAAAUCUGCAUGGGGGGUUCAGCGGCCCAAAGGAGUUUGCGGGAGGUGGCUGAGCGCACAGCCGUCGGACCGGCUCCGCACCGGGCGCGGGAGUCCGCAGCGAGACAAAGACGGGAGCUGUCCGCGGUUCUGAACCGGCGCGCUGGGGCGGAGCGCAGGGCUCCUGGGGCCGGCGGCCUCCUCUUCCCCUCUCCCUCAUUGUGACCCCUGCCUCUCUAGGCGUUUAUUUCGCUUUUUUGGGGCCCCGCCUUAAAACCUAUGUCAGAUAGAUAUACGGCGGCUGAUUAAAAACGAUUUCUCCUUUCUCAAAGAAAUGGUGCAGUAGAGGUUUAUUUUAACUGUGUGCUGUAAUAGACACGUGUAGCUCUUUCCACCCCUAAGGAAGUAGGGGUUCGUGUUUAAGAAUAGUAGAAUUAACCCUACCGAAUACCAUUAAUCUGCCCUGUGGUUUAUUCUGAUGAAGAAGGCAGGGGUUUCGUUUUGAAAUUUUUGUUUUGGGCGGUCAAAUCCCUGCCACUUUAACCCCUUCCAUAGAAAAACGCAUAAGAGCUGGGGAGGCUUGGUGAUUCCACCUGAAGGCAAACCAAUGAAAGCCUACUUUGUCCCCUACGAGAAGAAAGAGGGCUUGUGAGAGUCAAAGGCAUGGACAUCAAGUUGACUUAACCCUUGGAGGCAGAAAUGAGGUCUCUGAGGACAACAGUCUUCCAGAUUAUUCAGAGGGAAGUGAUUUCUUUGGAGAGUUUGGGCACAAAAAGGGUUAAGCUGGUGCUUCCUUCUAAAAGUUCUUGGUGUAAUCGAGAUGCCUGGCAUGGUGUACCACGAGCACCAACCCCUCUGCUUGAGUCCGCAUGCUGAACUUGUUAAGUAAGUUCAUGCAGGGGAGGAAGCAAAGCCACACACUUGCACUGUGGGGCCAGCACCCUUUCCUGAACCCAGCACCUUCCAGAGACUCCCCAGCACCCUGACCACCUCUUCAUCUGCUCUUCUCAGUGACACCAAGUCAUCUGGAGAGAAGUCCCAGAGCAUUUGAUGCAAUACGGUUCUCUGGAUCCCAUCUGGAUAUCACAGAGCUAACCCAUCCAUGGAGACAGAAGAACCGAACUCUCAACCCAGAGUGAUUUGCAAUAAAGGGCUGCAUCCUUGGGUUAGAACAAUCCAUGGCACUCUAGUUCCUCCAACUCUGCCUGUUACCUUCCUACUCAUUCAUCCUGAAGUCUUUAAUUAAGACCAAAGUGAUCUUCCCUCCACAUACCCUUCAGCCUCUCAGAAUGUGUUGACCUGGAGUGGUAAAAGAAAAGAAAAAAAUAAAGUCUUUUUUUUUUUUUUGCAAUGACCAUUAUGCAAUUCGAC